CAUAACCGUUACAGAUAACUAUCUCUGUGUUACUAUAUACAAUCUCAAGGUAUAUAGGUAAUGACUGAAGCUGCUGAAGGGAGUGCGGGAUGGCUUCAGCAGUUUUAAAGAUAUCCAUCAAGUGAUUAAUAAAAAUAAAUCUUUGAAGAGUAAAACUGUUACAAGUAAAGAAAAUGUGAUCCAAGGUAGGUAAUGUAAUAAAAUAGAGGAAGAAGAACCACUCUGCAAUUUUACAAGAAGAGGAUGAUUUUUAAUGGAUGAAAUUCUCAACAAAAACCUGUAUAUUAAAUAUUUAAAGCGAAUUUUCAAAGGAGGGAUGUUACAUUCAACCUGCAUUGAUAUUAUGGGUGUGGAACACAUCGCACCAAGCACAAUCCAGCUGAUGUCCAAGCCCAGAUCAUCAUAAUAGGCCUUAAGGCCGAGGAGAGCAACUCUGAGAUUUUCAAUAGCUGCAGACAACUUGUCUGCAGUACAAUAUAUAGUUAAGUCAUCUACAAACUGUAGGUAAUUGUAAAGAAGUUAAAAUAGUUGAAAGUUUUUCCAAAUUGACAUUAUUAUAUGCGCCAACAACAUCAAAGAAAAUACCAACCAAUAUUGAAUUACAAGACAGAGCAUUGUGAAUGUCCAAACAAAAAUGACUCAAGCUCUCUCUAGCCGAACGGCCACGCCGAAAACCGAACUGAUUACUAGAUUCGUGUGAAGAGGAAAACUUUCAA
This is a long non-coding RNA of Aricia agestis (brown argus), 716 nucleotides long. RefSeq lists it as uncharacterized. The transcript is spliced from 6 exons. NCBI's taxonomy places the organism in Eukaryota, Metazoa, Arthropoda, Insecta, Lepidoptera, Lycaenidae. The record is from RefSeq and is a predicted model, not a curated record.